Molecule: long non-coding RNA, 758 nt
Organism: Talpa occidentalis (Iberian mole)
Lineage: Eukaryota; Metazoa; Chordata; Mammalia; Eulipotyphla; Talpidae
Exons: 4
Source: RefSeq, a predicted model, not a curated record
GCCUGAUUACCUGAUAAGGGAGGAAGAUGCAGUCAAUGAAGGGAAAUUUCAGAGAGCAGGGAUUCACAGGUGAUCCAAAGUGGAGGCAAACAAUCCUGGCAGACGUGAGUGUGCCCCAUCCCCUUCUGAUCUGGAAUGUUCCAGAGUCCCACCUCCUUUCAGGAAGAGCUUGAGAACAAGCCCGGCUUUUUGGUCUCCAUUUGUGCCUGGAGGAGUCACUUUUCCAUCCAGGAGCUCGGGCAGUUGGAAGAGUGGCACAUCUGGGAGCAUGGAGAGAUGAGCCAGCUGUGUGGACCACGCUUCUGGCUUCCGUACGUGGGAUUCUGUAACAUGUGCCUGCUGGACACGCCUCAUUCCAGAUAAUCCAGUGUCUUGCCUGAGUACCCUGAUCUUGGCCUUCUGCCUCCCUUCCUUGGAAAGAUUCUUUCUGCCAGGAGUUUUCUUUUCAAAUAUAGAUGAACUGAAUCAGAGCCCACACCCCAACCACUUUCUCUUUCAACAUCUCUUUGUUCUACUCUGUUGUAAUCACCUCAGAGCCAGGUACCAGACAACGAGGUACUCCCUUGAGCCCCAGAAUCCUAAAAUUAUUUAAAGGAGCCCAAGCCAAGCCUGCUGACUCUGCUUCAGAUUCCUCCUUAUGGAAACCACAACAAAGGCUCUUGCCCACGUUCACCUUCCUCUCGCUCUGCCCCAUGUCCGAUGCCAGCUCUCCUGUCUGGCCCCCAUGGUCUCUUGAAAUCCCUGAGUAUAAAACUAUC